UACAGAGGUCCCAAGCGUUGUUCGGAUUCACUGGGCGUAAAGGUUGCGUAGGUGGUGGGGUAAGUUUGAUGUGAAAGCUCCGGGCUUAACCCGGAAAUGGCAUUGAAUACUAUCUCGCUUGAGGGUUGGAGGGGAGACUGGAAUUCUUGGUGUAGCAGUGAAAUGCGUAGAUAUCAAGAGGAACACCAGUGGCGAAGGCGAGUCUCUGGACAACUCCUGACACUGAGGCACGAAAGCUAGGGGAGCAAACAGG
RNAcentral lists this ribosomal RNA (253 nucleotides) under uncultured bacterium. Its description in RNAcentral is "partial 16S ribosomal RNA". It matches the Rfam family "Bacterial small subunit ribosomal RNA", at positions 524 to 776 of the family's 1533-position model. The record is from RNAcentral.